CAGUCGCCGCGGGAAUACGUAGGUCCCGAGCGUUGUCCGGAUUUAUUGGGCGUAAAGGGAGCGCAGGCGGUUUAGUAAGUCUGAAGUUAAAGGCAUUGGCUCAACCAAUGUAUGCUUUGGAAACUGUUAGACUUGAGUGCAGAAGGGGAGAGUGGAAUUCCAUGUGCAGCGGUGAAAUGCGUAGAUAUAUGGAGGAACACCGGUGGCGAAAGCGGCUCUCUGGUCUGUCACUGACGCUGAGGCUCGAAAGCGUGGGUAGCGAACAGGAUUAGAUACCCCAGUAGUCCCUGUCUCUUAUACA
RNAcentral lists this ribosomal RNA (301 nucleotides) under uncultured bacterium. Its description in RNAcentral is "partial 16S ribosomal RNA". It matches the Rfam family "Bacterial small subunit ribosomal RNA", at positions 509 to 808 of the family's 1533-position model. The record is from RNAcentral.